CAUAAUUCAAGCUUCUGCUUGGUGUUGAGCGGUUUGACUUCAGUCAACUCGUUCCAAACUCAUUGGCAUUUGUCUUUAUGGUCCACAACGUGACAGAAUUGAUCGUUGCAAACUUAGAGACCGAUAGCCAGUCUUUUUGAAC
This 142-nucleotide unclassified non-coding RNA is filed under the name uncultured Ascomycota. Its description in RNAcentral is "sequence contains ITS2". Lineage: Eukaryota; Fungi; Ascomycota. The record is from RNAcentral.